This 253-nucleotide ribosomal RNA is filed under the name uncultured bacterium. Its description in RNAcentral is "partial 16S ribosomal RNA". It matches the Rfam family "Bacterial small subunit ribosomal RNA", at positions 524 to 776 of the family's 1533-position model. The record is from RNAcentral.
UACGGAGGGUGCGAGCGUUAUCCGGAUUCACUGGGUUUAAAGGGUGCGUAGGUGGGCUGGUAAGUCAGUGGUGAAAUCUCCAGGCUUAACUUGGAAACUGCCAUUGAUACUAUCAGUCUUGAAUACCGUGGAGGUCAGCGGAAUAUGUCAUGUAGCGGUGAAAUGCUUAGAUAUGACAUAGAACACCAAUUGCGAAGGCAGCUGGCUACACGAAUAUUGACACUGAUGCACGAAAGCGUGGGGAUCAAACAGG